UACGGAGGGUGCAAGCGUUAUCCGGAUUCACUGGGUUUACAGGGUGCGUAGGUGGGCAGGUAAGUCAGUGGUGAAAUCUUUGGGCUUAACCCGAAAACUGCCAUUGAUACUAUUUGUCUUGAAUAUUGUGGAGGUCAGCGGAAUAUGUCAUGUAGCGGUGAAAUGCUUAGAGAUGACAUAGAACACCAAUUGCGAAGGCAGCUGGCUACACAUAUAUUGACACUGAUGCACGAAAGCGUGGGGAUCAAACAGG
This 253-nucleotide ribosomal RNA is filed under the name uncultured bacterium. RNAcentral's name for it is "partial 16S ribosomal RNA". It matches the Rfam family "Bacterial small subunit ribosomal RNA", at positions 524 to 776 of the family's 1533-position model. The record is from RNAcentral.